AUAACAAUACAGGACUCUUUUGAGGCCCUGUAAUUGGAAUGAGUACACUUUAAAUCCUUUAACGAGGAUCUAUUGCAAGUCUGGGGGAGAGCGACUGACCCGUGCGUGCUCCAGCUGAAA
Non-coding RNA from Pelobates cultripes (western spadefoot toad), 120 nucleotides. The record is from the annotation of a GenBank genome assembly. Lineage: Eukaryota; Metazoa; Chordata; Amphibia; Anura; Pelobatidae.